RNAcentral lists this ribosomal RNA (702 nucleotides) under uncultured bacterium. Its description in RNAcentral is "bacterial SSU rRNA". It matches the Rfam family "Bacterial small subunit ribosomal RNA", at positions 114 to 843 of the family's 1533-position model. The record is from RNAcentral.
CGCGUAGGAAUCUGCCCCGAACUGGGAAAUACCCAGCCGAAAGGUUGGCUAAUGUCCCAUAGUUCCGCCUCUGGCGGAUAAAGGCGUAAGCCGGUUUGGGAGGAUCCUGCGUCCUAUCAGCUUGUUGGUGGGGUAACGGCCUACCAAGGCAGUGACGGGUAGCUGGUCUGAGAGGACGGCCAGCCACAAUGGGACUGAGACACGGCCCAUACACCUACGGGUGGCAGCAGUUGGGAAUUGUUCACAAUGCGCGAAAGCGUGAUGACGCAAUGCCGCGUGGAGGAAGACGGCCUUCGGGUUGUAAACUUCUUUUAUGUGGGACGAUUAUGACGGUACCACAUGAAUAAGGACCUGCUAACUACGUGCCAGCAGCCGCGGUAAUACGUAGGGUCCGAGCGUUAUCCGGUAUUAUUGGGCGUAAAGAGUACGUAGGCGGUCUUUCAAGACAAUGGUUAAAUCUCCGGGCUUAACCCGGAACCAGCCGUUGUGACUGUUAGACUAGUCGAUAGCAGGGGCAAGCGGAAUUCUCGGUGUAGGAGUGAAAUCCGUUGAGAUCGAGAAGAACACCAAUGGCGAAGGCAGCUUGCUAGGCUAUAUGAGACGCUGAGGUACGAAAGCGUGGGGAGCGAACGGGAUUAGAUACCCCGGUAGUCCACGCCGUAAACGAUGCACACUAGCUAUCAGAAGUAUCGACCCUUCUUG